RNAcentral lists this unclassified non-coding RNA (312 nucleotides) under plant metagenome. RNAcentral's name for it is "partial contains 5.8S ribosomal RNA, internal transcribed spacer 2, and large subunit ribosomal RNA". The stretch from base 1 to 105 matches the Rfam family "5.8S ribosomal RNA", at positions 50 to 154 of the family's 154-position model. The record is from RNAcentral.
GAAAUGCGAUAAGUAAUGUGAAUUGCAGAAUUCCGUGAAUCAUCGAAUCUUUGAACGCACAUUGCGCCCCCUGGUAUUCCGGGGGGCAUGCCUGUCCGAGCGUCAUUUCAAACCCUCAAGCACGGCUUGUGUGAUGGGCCCCGGCGUCUCGUUCGCGAGACGGGCCCGAAAGGCAGCGGCGGCGUCGACCCGAUGAGCCCGAGCGUAUGGGGACUUCUGUCACACGUUCGCGGUGCGGACCGGCGCCUGCUUGACUUUUCUGAUUAUCCAGGUUGACCUCGGAUCAGGUAGGGAUACCCGCUGAACUUAAGC